CAACCCUCAAGCGCUGCUGCGCUUGGCGUUGGGGCACUUACAGCUUGGCACUUGCUGCCCUGUAAGCCCUGAAAUUCAGCGGCGGGCCCGUCUGCACACCGAGCGUAGUAAAUCAUGCUUCCGCUCAGGGCGCUGCGGCGAGGCCUAGCCAGCUCUCUUAUCUACCUAA
Molecule: unclassified non-coding RNA, 169 nt
Filed under: uncultured Ascomycota
Lineage: Eukaryota; Fungi; Ascomycota
Description: sequence contains ITS2
Source: RNAcentral